AGAAUAUUUGUAAAAGGGAAAUUAACAAAUGGCUAGGUUUCGGCUUGUGAUCAUUUAUAACAUUUACGAUACACUGACACGUUACAAAACACGCGUGCACGCACGGACGCACAUGUAGCUGGAUAGCAUUCCAUGCAGCAUCCCUGCCAUCAUGGCUACCAACAGUAGGCGAUACGGCAAUAGGCUGCACGACAGGUAGCCACCAGGAGGUUCUUUGCAGGAUGUGCAAAUGGAGCUCUACCUGGAGGAACUCGGGGACAGGGUGGAGGAGGCGGACGCGCAAUGCCAUACCGACCCAUUCCUCGACCGUCCCGCCUCCCCGCUGUUCAUCCCCCCAAAGACGGGAGUCAACGCCGUGACACAGAUCUAGACGGUGACCUGUUCGACUUUGACUUGGAGGGGACGCUGAUACUGGAGGUACUGGUGGGGAAGACCCUGGAGCAGGCGUUGCUGCAGGUGAUAGAGGAAAAGGAACUGGCGGCAAUGGGCGCAGCAGAAGGCCUUUCUAGAGCUGUGCAAUGCCAAGCUCGUCGAGAUGCGGAGACUGGAGGACAG
This is a long non-coding RNA of Priapulus caudatus, 555 nucleotides long. RefSeq lists it as uncharacterized. NCBI's taxonomy places the organism in Eukaryota, Metazoa, Priapulida, Priapulimorpha, Priapulimorphida, Priapulidae. The transcript is spliced from 3 exons. The record is from RefSeq and is a predicted model, not a curated record.